CAACAAGCUCUUGUGACUAAUUGCCUCCCACCAUCCUUACAACCACAAUAUCUGAAUGCAUACGAUUGUGUGGGUUACGCCUCAGCCAGCACAGCUAUAAUUCUGCUGACAAGCUCGUUUCCUCCACUAUGAGGCGACCACUUUCAUGCAGAUACAGAACCUAGGAGAGGUGCUCCUACAGAAUGUCCUGGCUGCUUGCUAUCUAUUUUCUCCUCCUUUUUCCUGGAGCUCCUGUCUCAAAAGCCAGAGAGGAGCUACCUGUUAUCAUUGCUGAGGAAGGGGAGACGACCAAUGUCACCUGCAAGUUUCAGCAUCCAAUCAAUAGGGCCUUGCAGUUGAAUCGAAUCCUUAGGAGGGCCAUGCAAGUGUUACAUGUUUCAGUGUGGGAAAAGAGAAAGACUGAGGCCCCUGAAUAUGCAAAUCGCACCGAAUACUUUGAGAUGGACAACAUGGUGACGAUAAUGCUGCGACAAGUCAAGCAGGAUGAUAGUGAUGUGUAUAUGUGUGAGGGACGUUUUCUAGAAGAGGGGGAGCCCAAGGAUAUAAACAGCAGCAGUAUCAUGUUGGCAGUAAAAGCAGCCUCAGAUAACAAGCUAAGAAACAGUUCAUCAUCUCUCUGGAUGCUGGGCGCCCUGAUCAUCCAGUCGCUUCUCCUGGUUGCUGUGCUGGCAUAUUGUAUCCUGUCCCCUAAAAAUAUCUGUGAAUGUUCUCCAAUGUUGCAGCAAAACUAG
RNAcentral lists this long non-coding RNA (731 nucleotides) under Pogona vitticeps (central bearded dragon). RNAcentral describes it as "lncRNA (ENSPVIG00000019862.1)". Lineage: Eukaryota; Metazoa; Chordata; Lepidosauria; Squamata; Agamidae. The record is from RNAcentral.